Small nucleolar RNA from Malania oleifera, 108 nucleotides. NCBI's taxonomy places the organism in Eukaryota, Viridiplantae, Streptophyta, Magnoliopsida, Santalales, Ximeniaceae. The record is from RefSeq and is a predicted model, not a curated record.
UAUCCAUGAUGAGUACAUGCAUUUAAGAGGCAUUUGAAACGUUCCCAGCAUUGAUAAAAUGUUUCCACAUCUUUUUGGCAAAAAUUCAUGAUUUUUAUUUUUAAAGCA